UGGCUUAGUGGUUAAGAGCACUGACUUUUCUUCCAGAGGACCUGGGUUCAAUUCCCAG
RNAcentral lists this transfer RNA (58 nucleotides) under Neotoma lepida (desert woodrat). The record is from Rfam by way of RNAcentral. Lineage: Eukaryota; Metazoa; Chordata; Mammalia; Rodentia; Cricetidae.